GCGGCCUAUCAGCUUGUUGGUGGGGUAAUGGCCUACCAAGGCGACGACGGGUAGCCGGCCUGAGAGGGUGACCGGCCACACUGGGACUGAGACACGGCCCAGACUCCUACGGGAGGCAGCAGUGGGGAAUAUUGCACAAUGGGCGCAAGCCUGAUGCAGCGACGCCGCGUGAGGGAUGACGGCCUUCGGGUUGUAAACCUCUUUCAGUAGGGAAGAAGCGUAAGUGACGGUACCUGCAGAAGAAGCGCCGGCUAACUACGUGCCAGCAGCCGCGGUAAUACGUAGGGCGCAAGCGUUAUCCGGAAUUAUUGGGCGUAAAGAGCUCGUAGGCGGUUUGUCGCGUCUGCUGUGAAAGACCGGGGCUCAACUCCGGUUCUGCAGUGGGUACGGGCAGACUAGAGUGCAGUAGGGGAGACUGGAAUUCCUGGUGUAGCGGUGAAAUGCGCAGAUAUCAGGAGGAACACCGAUGGCGAAGGCAGGUCUCUGGGCUGUAACUGACGCUGAGGAGCGAAAGCAUGGGGAGCGAACAGGAUUAGAUACCCUGGUAGUCCAUGCCGUAAACGUUGGGCACUAGGUGUGGGGGACAUUCCACGUUUUCCGCGCCGUAGCUAACGCAUUAAGUGCCCCGCC
RNAcentral lists this ribosomal RNA (630 nucleotides) under uncultured bacterium. Its description in RNAcentral is "bacterial SSU rRNA". It matches the Rfam family "Bacterial small subunit ribosomal RNA", at positions 233 to 873 of the family's 1533-position model. The record is from RNAcentral.